UAGGGAAUAUUGCGCAAUGGGGGAAACCCUGACGCAGCAACGCCACGUGAGUGAGGAAGGCCUUCGGGUUGUAAAGCUCUGUCAUUAGGGAAAAAUGGUCACGCAGGUAAUAUUUGUGUGAUUUGAUGGUACCUAAGGAGGAAGCACCGGCUAACUUCGUGCCAGCAGCCGCGGUAAUACGAAGGGUGCAAGCGUUGUUCGGAUUUAUUGGGCGUAAAGCGCGCGCAGGCGGCUUGAAAAGUCAGAUGUGAAAUCUCGGGGCUCAACUCCGAAACUGCGUCUGAAACUCUCAAGCUAGAGUCAUGGAGGGGAAAGGGGAAUUUCACGUGUAGGGGUAAAAUCCGUAGAGAUGUGAAGGAACACCUGAGGCGAAGGCGCCUUUCUGGCCAUGUACUGACGC
This 400-nucleotide ribosomal RNA is filed under the name uncultured bacterium. RNAcentral describes it as "bacterial SSU rRNA". It matches the Rfam family "Bacterial small subunit ribosomal RNA", at positions 355 to 746 of the family's 1533-position model. The record is from RNAcentral.